UGUCAGUGUGUGAUAUGUGACCAACCUAUC
This 30-nucleotide non-coding RNA is filed under the name Mus musculus (house mouse). Lineage: Eukaryota; Metazoa; Chordata; Mammalia; Rodentia; Muridae. The record is from RNAcentral.